This 517-nucleotide ribosomal RNA is filed under the name Echinocardium cordatum (sea potato). RNAcentral's name for it is "partial 16S ribosomal RNA". It matches the Rfam family "Bacterial large subunit ribosomal RNA", at positions 1819 to 2531 of the family's 2925-position model. Lineage: Eukaryota; Metazoa; Echinodermata; Echinoidea; Spatangoida; Loveniidae. The record is from RNAcentral.
CGCCCCCUGAAAAAUAAACAUAGGGGGUCCUGCCUGCCCAGUGACUGCAAAGUUUAACGGCCGCGGUAUCUUGACCGUGCGAAGGUAGCAUAAUCAUUUGUCUCCUAAAUAGAGACUGGUAUGAAUGGCAAGACGGAGCUUCACUGUCUCCUCCUCUUUGAUCUGAACUUCACAUUCCCGUGAAGAGGCGAGAAUUAGUUCGUAAGACGAGAAGACCCUGUCGAGCUGUAGCUAAAUUUUAAUUGUUAUUUACUAUUGGGCCUAACUAAUUAUAAUAGAAAUAGUAAGCCUAAAGCAUGACAAAUUAAAACAAGCUUUGAUUGGGGCAAUCCCGGAGAAAGAAAAUCCUCCGCUACUAUAUGGUUAUAUUAACCUAAAAUAAAAGAAUUAUUUUUCUUAAAUCAUAAAAAUGAAGGUAUGAUCCACUUACAGUGAUCAAAAGAACAAGUUACCGCAGGGAUAACAGCGUUAUCUUUUCUGAGAGUUCAUAUUGACGAGAAGGUUUGCGACCUCGAUG